Molecule: ribosomal RNA, 468 nt
Filed under: uncultured bacterium
Lineage: Bacteria
Description: partial 16S ribosomal RNA
Rfam family: Bacterial small subunit ribosomal RNA
Source: RNAcentral
GACGAACGCUGGCGGCGUGCUUAACACAUGCAAGUCGAACGGAAAGGCCCUGCUUUUGUGGGGUGCUCGAGUGGCGAACGGGUGAGUAACACGUGAGUAACCUGCCCUUGACUUUGGGAUAACUUCAGGAAACUGGGGCUAAUACCGGAUAGGAGCUCCUGCUGCAUGGUGGGGGUUGGAAAGUUUCGGCGGUUGGGGAUGGACUCGCGGUUUAUCAGCUUGUUGGUGGGGUAGUGGCUUACCAAGGCUUUGACGGGUAGCCGGCCUGAGAGGGUGACCGGCCACAUUGGGACUGAGAUACAGCCCAGACUCCUACGGGAGGCAGCAGUGGGGAAUAUUGCACAAUGGGCGGAAGCCUGAUGCAGCAACGCCGCGUGCGGGAUGACGGCCUUCGGGUUGUAAACCGCUUUCGCCUGUGACGAAGCGUGAGUGACGGUAAUGGGUAAAGAAGCACCGGCUAACUACGUG